UCAGUGCUGUAAUCGUUUUUAAAUGAGCAAAAACACUUAGGCUUUCAUAAUGGGAUUACAAAAUCUUGGGGUGAAACGUUAUUGGCAAAGAGGUUAAAUGAAGUCUUUUGUAUCUAAAUAAUAAACAUUUGUAGAGUAGAAACAUUUAAAACUCUCCAGGCCAUUUAAACUCUCCACAUACCAGAGGAAAAAAGUUGAUUACUUAGAGACGAAAGCAAAUCGAACUCAACUGACCUUGCCGCCAUCAACCUAACACACGCUAUCAAAUCAAUUUUGUCACAGAAGGAUUAUGACACAGGCCUAUGAGUCAGCAGUCUAAACUCACUGAGUGAUAGCACUGUGGACAUGAAAAGGAGGAACAAUCAAAAGGUCUGGCUUGAAUAUUAACAUUCUCGGGCCUCUGUGAGAAUGGACAGGACAGGACGGCAACCUCUGUUUUCCAACACCAGGAUGGCUGACACCGUGAAAAGGGGCACUCAGCAAUGGCACAAUGGACAAGAAUCACUUACCCUGCAAUUCUUACUGGGACUCUAUGAAAGUUAUACGACUAAAAUAAAUGCAGUGUCUCUAUU
This is a long non-coding RNA of Leopardus geoffroyi (Geoffroy's cat), 572 nucleotides long. RefSeq lists it as uncharacterized. NCBI's taxonomy places the organism in Eukaryota, Metazoa, Chordata, Mammalia, Carnivora, Felidae. The record is from RefSeq and is a predicted model, not a curated record. The transcript has 2 exons.